Molecule: ribosomal RNA, 163 nt
Filed under: Leontopodium nivale subsp. alpinum
Lineage: Eukaryota; Viridiplantae; Streptophyta; Magnoliopsida; Asterales; Asteraceae
Description: Leontopodium alpinum 5.8S ribosomal RNA
Rfam family: 5.8S ribosomal RNA
About the family: 5.8S ribosomal RNA (5.8S rRNA) is a component of the large subunit of the eukaryotic ribosome. It is transcribed by RNA polymerase I as part of the 45S precursor that also contains 18S and 28S rRNA.
Source: RNAcentral
AAACGACUCUCGGCAACGGAUAUCUCGGCUCACGCAUCGAUGAAGAACGUAGCAAAAUGCGAUACUUGGUGUGAAUUGCAGAAUCCCGUGAACCAUCGAGUUUUUGAACGCAAGUUGCGCCCGAAGCCAUUUGGUUGAGGGCACGUCUGCCUGGGCGUCACAC